CCUACGGGUGGCAGCAGUAGGGAAUCUUUCACAAUGGGCGAAAGCCUGAUGGAGCAACGCCGCGUGCAGGAUGAAGGCCUUCGGGUUGUAAACUGCUUUUAUAAGCGAGAAAUAUGAUGGUAACUUAUGAAUAAGGAUCGGCUAACUACGUGCCAGCAGCCGCGGUCAUACGUAGGAUCCGAGCAUUAUCCGGAGUGACUGGGUGUAAAGAGUUGCGUAGGUGGCAUAAUAAGUAGCUAGUGAAAUCUGGUGGCUCAACCAUUCAGACUAUUAGCUAAACUGUUAAGCUCGAGACCGUUAGAGGUAACUGGAAUUUCUGGUGUAGGAGUGAAAUGCGUAGAUAUUAGAAGGAACACCAAUAGCGUAGGCAGGUUACUGGGACGGUUCUGACACUAAGGCACGAAAGCGUAGGGAGCAAACGGGAUUAGAUACCCGGGUAGUC
Molecule: ribosomal RNA, 442 nt
Filed under: uncultured bacterium
Lineage: Bacteria
Description: partial 16S ribosomal RNA
Rfam family: Bacterial small subunit ribosomal RNA
Source: RNAcentral